UCUCCGUAGGUGAACCUGCGGAGGGAUCAUUACUGAGUGAGGGCUUCGGUCCGACCUCCAACCCUUUUUGAACCAAACUUGUUGCUUCAGGGGCGACCCUGCCGUUUCGACGGCGAGCGCCCCCGGAGGCCUUCAAACACUGCAUCUUUGCGUCGGAGUUUAAGUAAAUUAAACAAAACUUUCAACAACGGAUCUCUUGGUUCCAGAAUCGAUGAAGAACGCAGC
This 225-nucleotide unclassified non-coding RNA is filed under the name uncultured fungus. Its description in RNAcentral is "sequence contains ITS1, 5.8S rRNA gene". The stretch from base 177 to 225 matches the Rfam family "5.8S ribosomal RNA", at positions 1 to 49 of the family's 154-position model. The record is from RNAcentral. Lineage: Eukaryota; Fungi.